AUGGAGCCCGUGCAGUUCCCAGUUCCCGCGGUGGCCGAGGUUCAAGAAGCGGCCCCUGCGGCUUCAAGUGCUGACGGGCAGAUCUACCCGGCGAAGGCAGCAGGCGAGGAGAUGGGUCAGUGCUCCGAGCACUCAAUUGAACAAAUUGACCCGAAAACACCAGGGUGGACGCAAAGAGUGCGAGUUGGUGUUGCUGCUCCAGGAAGGCCUCCUUGUAUAGACAGGAUAACAGCGCUUGAGAAGACUGUUAGGGAAUUUGCGGAGCAUCCAGGAGAUGUGGUUAUGGUGCCAAAGAUUGGGACCAGUUUUGACACACUCGGAGAAGCUUAUGACUUUUAUAAUCUGUAUUCAUGGGAGAAAGGAUUUGGAAUACGAUAUGGAAAGAGCAGGCUUAAUGUUAGCAGGACUAAGUGCAUGCAAGAGAUAGUUUGCGGAUGUGCGGGGAAGCUAAUUGUUGAAAAUACUUGUUCCCGCCGAUGUGAAUGCCCAUCACUCAUAACAUUACUUCGGUCAAAGGACAAUGGAUGGUACAUAGCAGAACAUCGAGAUGGGCACAAUCAUGCACUCUCCCAAACUUAUGGACAGACAAUACACUGGCCGUCACACAAGCAUAUUGAUGUUUACAGCAGGGACCUAGUGAAGCAGCUCCGGCAAAAUAAUGUCAACCUUGCUAAGGUGUACAACAUUGUAGGUAGCUUCUUCGGGAAGAUGGAGAAUGUGCCGUUCACGAAAAGAGCAUUGAGAAAUUUGUGUGGCAAUAUUAGCCGUGAGCAAUCAGAAGACGAUGUGUGA
This 792-nucleotide ribosomal RNA is filed under the name Triticum aestivum (bread wheat). RNAcentral describes it as "partial small subunit ribosomal RNA". Lineage: Eukaryota; Viridiplantae; Streptophyta; Magnoliopsida; Poales; Poaceae. The record is from RNAcentral.